GCCAUUGUAGUGUAGAGGUAUCACAACACGUUGUGGCCGUGUUAACCCUGGUUCGAUUCCAGGCAAUGGCA
This is a non-coding RNA of Mycoemilia scoparia, 71 nucleotides long. NCBI's taxonomy places the organism in Eukaryota, Fungi, Kickxellomycota, Kickxellomycetes, Kickxellales, Kickxellaceae. The record is from the annotation of a GenBank genome assembly.